This 283-nucleotide ribosomal RNA is filed under the name uncultured soil bacterium. Its description in RNAcentral is "partial 16S ribosomal RNA". It matches the Rfam family "Bacterial small subunit ribosomal RNA", at positions 26 to 323 of the family's 1533-position model. The record is from RNAcentral.
AGAUUGAACGCUGGCGGCAUGCCUAACACAUGCAAGUCGAACAGGAGUAGCAAUACUCUAGUGGCGGACGGGUGAGGAAUACGUAGGAAUUUGCCCUUAAGUGGGGGAUAACCCGGGGAAACCCGGAUUAAUACCGCAUGACCUCGAAAGAGCAAAGUGGGGGAUCGCAAGACCUCACGCUUUUGGAGAAGCACGUCGGAUUAGCUAGUUGUGAGUAAUGGCUCACCGAAGGCGAACGAUCCGUAACUGGUACUGAAGAGGGAUGAUUCGAAUCGACACCGGA